AAGUCGUAACAAGGUUUCCGUAGGUGAACCUGCGGAAGGAUCAUUAGAAGGUUAUGCCGAAACCGUCCUAGCGGCGGCCGGCAGCCCUCCCACCAUUCACCUUGUGCACGUAUCGAAAUCUUGCUUUGGCAGCACUCUUCGGGCUUUUUUUGGGUCUGGAGGGUCUGCCAGAGAGAAGUUUCUAAUCAUGCCAUGACUUUGCCUGAUCUUUAUACAAAUAACAAAUGAAACAACUUUCAACAACGGAUCUCUUGGCUCUCGCAUCGAUGAAGAC
RNAcentral lists this unclassified non-coding RNA (274 nucleotides) under fungal sp. Its description in RNAcentral is "partial internal transcribed spacer region". The stretch from base 1 to 46 matches the Rfam family "Eukaryotic small subunit ribosomal RNA", at positions 1786 to 1831 of the family's 1831-position model. The record is from RNAcentral. Lineage: Eukaryota; Fungi.